GUGCGGGGCGUGAAGAGUGGCGAACGGUGGAGGAACACGUGGGCAUUCUGCCCUGCAGUCGGGGAUAACUCCGGGGAACGGGAGGUAAUACCGGAUACGACUCUCCAGGGGAUCCUGGAGGGUGGAAAGCUCCGGCGGUGCAGGAUGAGCCCGCGGCCUAUCAGCUGGUUGGUGGGGUAACGGCCCACCAAGGCGACGACGGGUAGCCGGCCUGAGAGGGCGACCGGCCACACUGGGACUGAGACACGGCCCAGACUCCUACGGGAGGCAGCAGUGGGGAAUAUUGCACAAUGGGCGCAAGCCUGAUGCAGCGACGCCGCGUGAGGGAUGACGGCCUUCGGGUUGUAAACCUCUUUCAGCAGGGAAGAAGCGCAAGUGACGGUACCUGCAGAAGAAGCACCGGCUAACUACGUGCCAGCAGCCGCGGUAAUACGUAGGGUGCGAGCGUUGUCCGGAAUUAUUGGGCGUAAAGAGCUCGUAGGCGGCCUGUCGCGUCGGAUGUGAAAGCCCGGGGCUUAACCCCGGGUCUGCAUUCGAUACGGGCAGGCUAGAGUUCGGUAGGGGAGAUCGGAAUUCCUGGUGUAGCGGUGAAAUGCGCAGAUAUCAGGAGGAACACCGGUGGCGAAGGCGGAUCUCUGGGCCGAUACUGACGCUGAGGAGCGAAAGCGUGGGGAGCGAACAGGAUUAGAUACCCUGGUAGUCCACGCCGUAAACGUUGGGCACUAGGUGUGGGCGGCAUUCCACGUCGUCCGUGCCGCAGCUAACGCAUUAAGUGCCCCGCCUGGGGAGUACGGCCGCAAGGCUAAAACU
Molecule: ribosomal RNA, 810 nt
Filed under: Streptomyces sp. XJ 11116
Lineage: Bacteria; Bacillati; Actinomycetota; Actinomycetes; Kitasatosporales; Streptomycetaceae
Description: bacterial SSU rRNA
Rfam family: Bacterial small subunit ribosomal RNA
Source: RNAcentral